This 544-nucleotide ribosomal RNA is filed under the name uncultured bacterium. Its description in RNAcentral is "bacterial SSU rRNA". It matches the Rfam family "Bacterial small subunit ribosomal RNA", at positions 368 to 905 of the family's 1533-position model. The record is from RNAcentral.
UUGAUGGACGAGUCUGACGGAGCACGCCGCGUGAGUGAUGAAGGUUUUCGGAUCGUAAAGCUCUGUUGUUAGGGAAGAACAAGUACCGUUCGAAUAGGGCGGUACCUUGACGGUACCUAACCAGAAAGCCACGGCUAACUACGUGCCAGCAGCCGCGGUAAUACGUAGGUGGCAAGCGUUGUCCGGAAUUAUUGGGCGUAAAGGGCUCGCAGGCGGUUUCUUAAGUCUGAUGUGAAAGCCCCCGGCUCAACCGGGGAGGGUCAUUGGAAACUGGGGAACUUGAGUGCAGAAGAGGAGAGUGGAAUUCCACGUGUAGCGGUGAAAUGCGUAGAGAUGUGGAGGAACACCAGUGGCGAAGGCGACUCUCUGGUCUGUAACUGACGCUGAGGAGCGAAAGCGUGGGGAGCGAACAGGAUUAGAUACCCUGGUAGUCCACGCCGUAAACGAUGAGUGCUAAGUGUUAGGGGGUUUCCGCCCCUUAGUGCUGCAGCUAACGCAUUAAGCACUCCGCCUGGGGAGUACGGUCGCAAGACUGAAACUCAAG